This 111-nucleotide ribosomal RNA is filed under the name uncultured bacterium. Its description in RNAcentral is "partial 16S ribosomal RNA". It matches the Rfam family "Bacterial small subunit ribosomal RNA", at positions 1373 to 1482 of the family's 1533-position model. The record is from RNAcentral.
CCCGGGCCUUGUACACACCGCCCGUCACGUCAUGAAAGUCGGCAACGCCCGAAGCCGGUGGCCUAACCCUUGUGGAGGGAGCCGUCGAAGGUGGGGCUGGCGAUUAGGACG